RNAcentral lists this ribosomal RNA (497 nucleotides) under uncultured bacterium. RNAcentral's name for it is "partial 16S ribosomal RNA". It matches the Rfam family "Bacterial small subunit ribosomal RNA", at positions 28 to 507 of the family's 1533-position model. The record is from RNAcentral.
GAUGAACGCUGGCGGCGUGCCUAAUACAUGCAAGUCGAGCGAACAGACGAGGAGCUUGCUCCUCUGACGUUAGCGGCGGACGGGUGAGUAACACGUGGAUAACCUACCUAUAAGACUGGGAUAACUUCGGGAAACCGGAGCUAAUACCGGAUAAUAUAUUGAACCGCAUGGUUCAAUAGUGAAAGACGGUUUUGCUGUCACUUAUAGAUGGAUCCGCGCCGCAUUAGCUAGUUGGUAAGGUAACGGCUUACCAAGGCAACGAUGCGUAGCCGACCUGAGAGGGUGAUCGGCCACACUGGAACUGAGACACGGUCCAGACUCCUACGGGAGGCAGCAGUGGGGAAUCUUCGGCAAUGGGCGAAAGCCUGACGGAGCAACGCCGCGUGAGUGAUGAAGGUCUUCGGAUCGUAAAACUCUGUUAUUAGGGAAGAACAAAUGUGUAAGUAACUAUGGACGUCUUGACGGUACCUAAUCAGAAAGCCACGGCUAACUACGUG